GAUGACUCUCGACAACGGAUAUCUCGGCUCUCGCAUCGAUGAAGAACGUAGCGAAAUGCGAUACUUGGUGUGAAUUGCAGAAUCCCGUGAACCAUCGAGUCUUUGAACGCAAGUUGCGCCCGAAGCCACUAGGCUGAGGGCACGUCUGCCUGGGUGUCACGC
This 162-nucleotide ribosomal RNA is filed under the name Seseli corymbosum. Its description in RNAcentral is "5.8S ribosomal RNA". It matches the Rfam family "5.8S ribosomal RNA". Rfam says of the family: 5.8S ribosomal RNA (5.8S rRNA) is a component of the large subunit of the eukaryotic ribosome. Lineage: Eukaryota; Viridiplantae; Streptophyta; Magnoliopsida; Apiales; Apiaceae. RNAcentral also lists the same sequence under 3 other names. The record is from RNAcentral.